AGCAGCCGCGGUAAUUCCAGCUCCAAUAGCGUAUAUUAAAGUUGUUGCAGUUAAAAAGCUCGUAGUUGAAUUUCGAGGUCAAAUUGUCGGUCGUGCCUCGGUACGUACUGGCAUUAUUGAUUUCUCCCUUCUGACGAUCCGCGAUGUCAUUAAUUUGGUGUCGUGGGGAAUCAGGACUGUUACUUUGAAAAAAUUAGAGUGUUUAAAGCAGGCUCACGCUUGAAUACAUUAGCAUGGAAUAAUGAAAUAGGACGUUUGAUUCUAUUUUGUUGGUUUCUAGGAUCAACGUAAUGAUUAAUAGGGAUAGUUGGGGGCAUUAGUAUUCAAUUGUCAGAGGUGAAAUUCUUGGAUUUAUUGAAGACUAACUACUGCGAAAGCAUUUGCCAAGGAUGUUUUCAUUAAUCAAGAACGAAAGUUAGGGGAUCGAAGACGAUCAGAUACCGUCGUAGUCUUAACCAUAAACUAUGCCGACUAGGGAUCGGAUGAUGUUAAUUUUUUAAUGACUCAUUCGGCGU
RNAcentral lists this small RNA (515 nucleotides) under uncultured Glomus. RNAcentral describes it as "SSU rRNA". It matches the Rfam family "Eukaryotic small subunit ribosomal RNA", at positions 569 to 1086 of the family's 1831-position model. The record is from RNAcentral. Lineage: Eukaryota; Fungi; Glomeromycota; Glomeromycetes; Glomerales; Glomeraceae.